Long non-coding RNA from Poeciliopsis prolifica (blackstripe livebearer), 303 nucleotides. RefSeq lists it as uncharacterized. The record is from RefSeq and is a predicted model, not a curated record. The transcript is spliced from 3 exons. NCBI's taxonomy places the organism in Eukaryota, Metazoa, Chordata, Actinopteri, Cyprinodontiformes, Poeciliidae.
AACCAGACGUUGACUGAGAGUAACAGGAGGAUGCGUAAAGCUGCAGGCUUGAGGUACGCAGGCCUGAGCCGCAGGAGAUGUAACAAACAUGAGGAAGAAGAUGAUGUGGUCCAAAGAUGAAGGAGACCAAAAGUAAAUUACGACCAUGGUGAGACGUGGUAACAGGAGGAUCAUGCUGUGGACUUUUCCCCCUCAACAACAAGGAAGGUGGUCAGGCUUCAUGGGAAGAUGCAUGAAGCUAAAUACGAGAAGCUGCCUGCAACCACAGACACUCGAGUUUUGCCAAAGAGAGGGUGGGGAGAA